This 253-nucleotide ribosomal RNA is filed under the name uncultured prokaryote. RNAcentral's name for it is "partial 16S ribosomal RNA". It matches the Rfam family "Bacterial small subunit ribosomal RNA", at positions 524 to 776 of the family's 1533-position model. The record is from RNAcentral.
UACGUAGGCAGCAAGCGUUGUUUGGAAUUACUGGGCGUAAAGAGUGUGUAGGCGGUGCUCCAAGUCUGGUGUGAAAUCUCCCGGCUCAACUGGGAGGGUGCGCCGGAAACUGGAAUGCUAGAGUGUGGGAGAGGUAAGCGGAAUUCCUGGUGUAGCGGUGAAAUGCGUAGAUAUCAGGAGGAACACCUGUGGUGUAGACAGCUUACUGGACCACGACUGACGCUGAGACACGAAAGCGUGGGUAGCAAACAGG